RNAcentral lists this ribosomal RNA (254 nucleotides) under uncultured bacterium. RNAcentral's name for it is "partial 16S ribosomal RNA". It matches the Rfam family "Bacterial small subunit ribosomal RNA", at positions 524 to 776 of the family's 1533-position model. The record is from RNAcentral.
UACGAAGGGGGCUAGCGUUGCUCGGAAUCACUGGGCGUAAAGGGUGCGUAGGCGGGUUUUUAAGUCGGGGGUGAAAUCCUGGAGCUCAACUCCAGAACUGCCUUUGAUACUGGCGAUCUUCGAGUCCGGGAGAGGUGAGUGGAACUCCGAGUGUAGAGGUGAAAUUCGUAGAUAUUCGGAAGAACACCAGUGGCGAAGGCGGCUCACUGGCCCGGUACUGACGCUUAAGAGCGAAAGCGUGGGGAGCAAACAGG